AACUUCUCAGAACAUAUGGAGUACACAAUAAAAACAAUCUCCCACUACCAUAAAACAUCAGAUCAAAAUUAUAAACAAGGAUCACUGAACUGGGUCUGUAUAAGAAAAAUGAGGGCUUUUUUAAAUUGCAUUUUUUUACUGUUGUGUUUCAUUGCAAUCACCAGUGAUAUUGGAACAGCUGCAGCCAAGAAAAGUCUAACAAAUCGUGUUGAUAAGAAGGGCCGAAGCGAGAAGUGUACUUUAAAGCAUCCACUGGAAGGAGAAAAGAAAAAUAAGCCUCCAAAACAAAUUUGUCUUCCUGAAUUACCAUCGACUCAACCAUGGUAUAAUAAAUCUACCUUGGAUUCCAUCCUUAUUUAUUAUUAUAACGCAAAUGCGAAAAACCCCUACGAAGAAAUGAAGAAAGCCAAACCAGAGUUUAUCAAAGACAUAAAACUUCUUGAAACGCGUUUGCGAAAUUUGGAUUGGUGCAAGAAAGUAGAAUAUACGGGCUCGUCAUAUGAGGGGCUGAAGAUAAGCGAAGAUGGUCUGGAGUUUGAUGUUAUGUUUGUGAUAGACGGAACAGGUUUGGAAUUAGUAUCCAUUAAAGGGCAGGAAGGUUACACGAAUUUUAAGGCGAGCACGAAGGCCUUGCGUAUGUUGCAGGAAUCUGCAGGUUCUACAGGCUUCUUGUCACCGAAGCUAGUCAACUCAAAGUUUUUUGGGGCUGUGAAAAAAUGGCAAAAUAAAGUUGAUCCAACUGGGCAACGCAUGAAGUUACGCAACCAUGGUCCUGCCACCCAGAUGGAUGUGUUUAAUGGUACAAAAAAGGUUUGGUACAGUGUAGAUCUGGUGCCAGCUGUCGAAAUAAAAGAUAAUGGUGAAGUGAAACUAUACAUACCAAAGCCUUUAAAAAAUGAUAACACAACAUGGCGUCGCUCUUUCUCGAGAGAAGAAAAAAGUAUUCUAAAGACCUUGGACAAAGGAAACGGUUGUAGACGGAAAGUGGCCCGUGUAAUUAAAGCCAUGUUUAAAGGUGAACCUACACUACGCCCUUUCACAUCUUACUACAUAAAAACCACACUUCUCCUGACAAUACAAUCAUUCCCAGAUAUGAGCUGGAAAACAAGUGAUGUGACCGAGCGAGUCUUGGAUGUUUUAGGGGCAAUCGAGUUUUACCUGAAACAAAGAUAUCUUCCACAUUAUUUCAUCCCAUCCAUAAACCUGCUCGUAGAUAUGAAGGAACACGUGAAGUUAAACAUGUUGAAACGAGUCAGAUCGUUACGACGUUACGAGGACAAGUUCGUGAAAGCCAUCGACUUGCGCUACAAACUUCGCGGCGAAACAAGUGGUGAUAAAAUGGAAAACGGGAUGCAUGUAAUGUUUGCUAUUAUUAUUUUUUUGAAACCGAUUUUGAGCAUUUUUUUUAACUUUUAAGAUAAAAUUUGCUAUUUUUAUGUUUGGUAUACUUUAGGCUUUAGAAAUAGUAUUGACGUAAAUGCAACAUAUAUAGCAUAUAACGUAUGCACUUUUAGAUUUAUUUUGAUUUUAUUUUACAUGCACUUGCAGUUUUAAAGUGAGAAAACAACGACUUGAAGAAACUACGACGAAACAAUACGACAAAAUAACGCCGAAAAAAACCCGACAAGAUAACGCCGAAAACACCGAAAAACAACGACAAUAUAGCGACAAUAUGGCGAAACAAAGUGGUAUAAGUCGAAUUUUUACGUGCGCAUGUCACUUUACUGAUUGGUUAUUCAAUAUCAAAGUUUGAAAAAUAGAGGAUCACAAAAAGGGAUAAAUAAUUAAAAUAACUUUUAUUUCUAUCGGAAAUAUAAAAAUUCGCCUAAAUCACCUAGUUAUCUGUUAUAAUGACGACUUUUAGUUAGUUUAGGAAUUUGUGCGGAAAUUAACGUGUGCAUAUUCAUACUCUAUUUCCUUGGAUGGAAAUAAAUUCGCGCUAAAUUGCGCCUUAAGUCCGCUACGCGAAAAUACUUGUUUCCAUUUGCAUGUAUUUUCUGUUUUGGAGCAAAAAGCUCGUGAGUUUUAAUUGUUAGCGCAUGCGCAUUUGGAAAUUUUUUAAAGUGCGCAUGCGCUAACAAACAAAAUUUCGUGGAAACGAGCCUUUAAAAUGUUGUAUGUUGUUUUUUAUGUGUAAAAUAUUUUAAGAAUGAUUGUAGAAAUAUUUUUAUGUAAAUUCAUAUAUUAUAUAGCUUAUUUAGUUUUUAUUUUUAAUGAUAGGAAACAAUGAUGGGAAGAAACCAAAAAAAAAGCUGUUUUUUCUUAACUGUUUUUACCUCGAAUUAAAGAAAUAGAAAGCAAACAUGAGAAAAGUGAUCUUUGAGGAAGACUUUUGAUGCUAUCUGUGAAACGUCAAACUUGUGAGAUAUGGGAUUUUUUGCGAGUUAUUCUCGAUUAACCAAACGUCAAAAAGUGAUGAUCGGUGCGACAGGGGUUGUGGUCAGUUUCAUUGGUCCAUAUAUGACAUUAAUGUUUACUGACGUGUUUGAAAGAGAGGCUGAGCGAGAAAGAAUUCGAAAUGAAAAUGUACGAAAAAUGAAAAUAGAAAGAAUGGAGAAAUUGCAAAAUCUUCGUGAAAAAAAGUUGUUACCGUAACAGUUGUAACAUUCUAUCUGAAGCUGUGUAUUCUUCAUGGACCAAAAUAUAUUUUUUCAGUAAA
Hydractinia symbiolongicarpus is the source of this 2659-nucleotide RNA transcript. It is a transcript of the gene named cyclic GMP-AMP synthase-like, with no coding region annotated. The transcript has 8 exons. NCBI's taxonomy places the organism in Eukaryota, Metazoa, Cnidaria, Hydrozoa, Anthoathecata, Hydractiniidae. The record is from RefSeq and is a predicted model, not a curated record.